GUAGGGAAUCUUCCACAAUGGACGAAAGUCUGAUGGAGCAACGCCGCGUGAGUGAAGAAGGUUUUCGGAUCGUAAAACUCUGUUGUAAGGGAAGAACAAGUACAGUAGUAACUGGCUGUACCUUGACGGUACCUUAUUAGAAAGCCACGGCUAACUACGUGCCAGCAGCCGCGGUAAUACGUAGGUGGCAAGCGUUGUCCGGAAUUAUUGGGCGUAAAGCGCGCGCAGGCGGUCCUUUAAGUCUGAUGUGAAAUCACGUGGCUCAACCACGUGCGGUCAUUGGAAACUGGAGGACUUGAGUGCAGAAGAGGAAAGUGGAAUUCCAAGUGUAGCGGUGAAAUGCGUAGAGAUUUGGAGGAACACCAGUGGCGAAGGCGACUUUCUGGUCUGUAACUGACGCUGAGGCGCGAAAGCGUGGGGAGCAAACAGGAUUAGAAACCCCAGUAGUCC
Molecule: ribosomal RNA, 450 nt
Filed under: uncultured bacterium
Lineage: Bacteria
Description: bacterial SSU rRNA
Rfam family: Bacterial small subunit ribosomal RNA
Source: RNAcentral